CGGCCUCUUUGUCUCCAACUCUGAUUCGCUCAAAUGCGGGUUUUUGUUCUGCAAUAUCGCUCCAGUUUGCUAAGCGCCAUCUGGAUUAGGUGGCGUUCGUUUGCUGCCUUCCCUCUCUCUUUCUCUUCCUCUCACUCUUGUCUUCUUUUUCUUUCUUUGUCUGAUUUUGGUUUUCCAUUGCAGGUGAAGCAUUAAAUAAGACCGAAGAAGUGGCAAAAUGAUCUGCGAGUACCUUGUGGGGACUUUCCUGUUCGGAGUUUUUUGUUCGAACUAUUGCAAGCUACCGGACAACAGCACUGUUCUCUCAAGUGGACAUACAAUGAAAACGGCGUAUCCUUGUGUUCAGUACAGUUGCAACAAGGGAAACCUGACAACGAAGACAUGCCGCAAAGGAGGAUACCCAGAUUGCUUGACAUCUUCGGCAGCAAGCAGCCCAUAUCCUGACUGUUGUCCUCCAAUGGCGUGUUCGUAACAUCAAUAAACAUGCGGCACGCAGACC
Dermacentor silvarum is the source of this 499-nucleotide long non-coding RNA. RefSeq lists it as uncharacterized. The transcript has 3 exons. NCBI's taxonomy places the organism in Eukaryota, Metazoa, Arthropoda, Arachnida, Ixodida, Ixodidae. The record is from RefSeq and is a predicted model, not a curated record.